Molecule: small nuclear RNA, 284 nt
Filed under: Tupaia belangeri chinensis (Chinese tree shrew)
Lineage: Eukaryota; Metazoa; Chordata; Mammalia; Scandentia; Tupaiidae
Description: Tupaia chinensis (Chinese tree shrew) 7SK RNA
Rfam family: 7SK RNA
About the family: 7SK was discovered as an abundant small nuclear RNA in the mid-70s but a possible function has only recently been suggested.
Source: Rfam by way of RNAcentral
GGAUGUGAGGGCGAUCUGGCUGCGACAUCUGUCACCCCAUUGAUCGCCAGGGUUGAUUCGGCUGAUCCGGCUGCGCGCUCGGUCGAAGAGGACGACCAUCCCCGAUAGAGGAGGACCGUUCUUCGGUCAAGGGUAUACGAGUGGUUGCGCUCCCCUGCUAGAACCUCCAGACAAGCUCUCAAGGGCCUACCAUAUUCCUUUUUUAAAAUUUUGUUUAGGGUGGGGCCAGCAGGUGGCAUGGUGGUUAAGGUGCUGGACUCCCCCAUGGCAGACUGCAGUUCGAG